GACUUUUAAAACCCACUUUGUAAGGAAGGAGCCCAGGAGACCUCCAGCACUUUUCUGCAGAGAAAUACUCACAGGGAGAGACUGUCGAGUGAGAUGGGGCCAGGGGGCUGCCUGUGACUGGUUAUCUUCCAGGCCAGCAAGAGGGCAGGGGCCAGUGCUACACAGCUGUCUUACAAAAGAUUUUACUUCACUUUGAAAAAUCUACCCGUCUUGGUACAUACGCAGCUGCUUCAUUAGUUGUGACUCUGCACAGCAUGAAGUUUAUACCCACCUACUCCGAUGACAGACAGGGAGAAGCAAAAAGCUGAGCGCAAUACUGCAACAAGGAAUGUUAUGAGGGAAGGCAUUUGUAGAAUGUGAUACUUUGAAGAUAUAAUUGAUAAUUUUUUUUCUUUAAAGAGCAGCUAAAACAUAACACUGUAUCCAGGGUUUGAUUAAUUUUUUUCCAUCAUUUUAUUUUUAUCUGUCUAAUAAAUGAUCCACAACUUCAGGCCCCAUUUGCUUCCAGCCUCUUGUUAGGUUUUUUGUUUUUGUUUGUGUUUUCUUUUGGUGUUUCACUAAUCAUUCUUCUUAUCCUCUCAAGACGUUGUCAUGUUACUCCACUUUUC
Molecule: long non-coding RNA, 608 nt
Filed under: Pan paniscus (pygmy chimpanzee)
Lineage: Eukaryota; Metazoa; Chordata; Mammalia; Primates; Hominidae
Description: lncRNA (ENSPPAG00000045322.1)
Source: RNAcentral